RNAcentral lists this small RNA (153 nucleotides) under Roseburia sp. CAG:303. RNAcentral's name for it is "Clostridiales-1 RNA". It matches the Rfam family "Clostridiales-1 RNA". Lineage: Bacteria; Bacillati; Bacillota; Clostridia; Lachnospirales; Lachnospiraceae. The record is from Rfam by way of RNAcentral.
UGCUAUCAGGCUCGAAAAGUAAAAAUAUAUGUGCUUGCACAAUAUAUUUUUACCUUGAGAGCCGCCAAAUAUGAGGAAGGAGCGAUUUACGAAGUAAAUCAGCGGAAUCCGAAUAUUUGAAGAAUUGCCGGAAACGGCAAUUCGAAGAUAGCA